RNAcentral lists this ribosomal RNA (2900 nucleotides) under Klebsiella pneumoniae. RNAcentral describes it as "bacterial LSU rRNA". It matches the Rfam family "Bacterial large subunit ribosomal RNA". The record is from RNAcentral. Lineage: Bacteria; Pseudomonadati; Pseudomonadota; Gammaproteobacteria; Enterobacterales; Enterobacteriaceae.
UUAAGCGACUAAGCGUACACGGUGGAUGCCCUGGCAGUCAGAGGCGAUGAAGGACGUGCUAAUCUGCGAAAAGCGUCGGUAAGGUGAUAUGAACCGUUAUAACCGGCGAUGUCCGAAUGGGGAAACCCAGUGUGAUUCGUCACACUAUCGUUAACUGAAUACAUAGGUUAACGAGGCGAACCGGGGGAACUGAAACAUCUAAGUACCCCGAGGAAAAGAAAUCAACCGAGAUUCCCCCAGUAGCGGCGAGCGAACGGGGAGCAGCCCAGAGUCUGAAUCAGCUUGUGUGUUAGUGGAACGGUCUGGAAAGUCCGACGGUACAGGGUGAUAGUCCCGUACACCAAAAUGCACAGGCUGUGAACUCGAAGAGUAGGGCGGGACACGUGGUAUCCUGUCUGAAUAUGGGGGGACCAUCCUCCAAGGCUAAAUACUCCUGACUGACCGAUAGUGAACCAGUACCGUGAGGGAAAGGCGAAAAGAACCCCGGCGAGGGAAGUGAAAAAGAACCUGAAACCGUGUACGUACAAGCAGUGGGAGCACCUUCGGGUGUGACUGCGUACCUUUUGUAUAAUGGGUCAGCGACUUAUAUUCUGUAGCAAGGUUAACCGUAUAGGGGAGCCGCAGGGAAACCGAGUCUUAACUGGGCGUUAAGUUGCAGGGUAUAGACCCGAAACCCGGUGAUCUAGCCAUGGGCAGGUUGAAGGUUGGGUAACACUAACUGGAGGACCGAACCGACUAAUGUUGAAAAAUUAGCGGAUGACUUGUGGCUGGGGGUGAAAGGCCAAUCAAACCGGGAGAUAGCUGGUUCUCCCCGAAAGCUAUUUAGGUAGCGCCUCGUGAACUCAUCUUCGGGGGUAGAGCACUGUUUCGGCUAGGGGGUCAUCCCGACUUACCAACCCGAUGCAAACUACGAAUACCGAAGAAUGUUAUCACGGGAGACACACGGCGGGUGCUAACGUCCGUCGUGAAGAGGGAAACAACCCAGACCGCCAGCUAAGGUCCCAAAGUCAUGGUUAAGUGGGAAACGAUGUGGGAAGGCACAGACAGCCAGGAUGUUGGCUUAGAAGCAGCCAUCAUUUAAAGAAAGCGUAAUAGCUCACUGGUCGAGUCGGCCUGCGCGGAAGAUGUAACGGGGCUAAACCAUGCACCGAAGCUGCGGCAGCGACACUAUGUGUUGUUGGGUAGGGGAGCGUUCUGUAAGCCUGCGAAGGUGACCUGUGAGGGUUGCUGGAGGUAUCAGAAGUGCGAAUGCUGACAUAAGUAACGAUAAAGCGGGUGAAAAGCCCGCUCGCCGGAAGACCAAGGGUUCCUGUCCAACGUUAAUCGGGGCAGGGUGAGUCGACCCCUAAGGCGAGGCCGAAAGGCGUAGUCGAUGGGAAACAGGUUAAUAUUCCUGUACUUGGUGUUACUGCGAAGGGGGGACGGAGAAGGCUAUGUUAGCCGGGCGACGGUUGUCCCGGUUUAAGCAUGUAGGCUGGUUAUCCAGGCAAAUCCGGAUAAUCAAGGCUGAGGUGUGAUGACGAGGCACUACGGUGCUGAAGUAACAAAUGCCCUGCUUCCAGGAAAAGCCUCUAAGCAUCAGGUAACAUCAAAUCGUACCCCAAACCGACACAGGUGGUCAGGUAGAGAAUACCAAGGCGCUUGAGAGAACUCGGGUGAAGGAACUAGGCAAAAUGGUGCCGUAACUUCGGGAGAAGGCACGCUGGUGUGUAGGUGAAGCCCCUGCGGGUGGAGCUGAGACCAGUCGAAGAUACCAGCUGGCUGCAACUGUUUAUUAAAAACACAGCACUGUGCAAACACGAAAGUGGACGUAUACGGUGUGACGCCUGCCCGGUGCCGGAAGGUUAAUUGAUGGGGUUAUCCGUAAGGAGAAGCUCUUGAUCGAAGCCCCGGUAAACGGCGGCCGUAACUAUAACGGUCCUAAGGUAGCGAAAUUCCUUGUCGGGUAAGUUCCGACCUGCACGAAUGGCGUAAUGAUGGCCAGGCUGUCUCCACCCGAGACUCAGUGAAAUUGAACUCGCUGUGAAGAUGCAGUGUACCCGCGGCAAGACGGAAAGACCCCGUGAACCUUUACUAUAGCUUGACACUGAACAUUGAGCCUUGAUGUGUAGGAUAGGUGGGAGGCUUUGAAGCGUGGACGCCAGUCUGCGUGGAGCCAACCUUGAAAUACCACCCUUUAAUGUUUGAUGUUCUAACGUUGGCCCCUUACCGGGGUUGCGGACAGUGUCUGGUGGGUAGUUUGACUGGGGCGGUCUCCUCCCAAAGCGUAACGGAGGAGCACGAAGGUUAGCUAAUCCUGGUCGGACAUCAGGAGGUUAGUGCAAUGGCAUAAGCUAGCUUGACUGCGAGCGUGACGGCGCGAGCAGGUGCGAAAGCAGGUCAUAGUGAUCCGGUGGUUCUGAAUGGAAGGGCCAUCGCUCAACGGAUAAAAGGUACUCCGGGGAUAACAGGCUGAUACCGCCCAAGAGUUCAUAUCGACGGCGGUGUUUGGCACCUCGAUGUCGGCUCAUCACAUCCUGGGGCUGAAGUAGGUCCCAAGGGUAUGGCUGUUCGCCAUUUAAAGUGGUACGCGAGCUGGGUUUAGAACGUCGUGAGACAGUUCGGUCCCUAUCUGCCGUGGGCGCUGGAGAAUUGAGGGGGGCUGCUCCUAGUACGAGAGGACCGGAGUGGACGCAUCACUGGUGUUCGGGUUGUCAUGCCAAUGGCACUGCCCGGUAGCUAAAUGCGGAAGAGAUAAGUGCUGAAAGCAUCUAAGCACGAAACUUGCCCCGAGAUGAGUUCUCCCUGAGACUUUAAGUCUCCUGAAGGAACGUUGAAGACGACGACGUUGAUAGGCCGGGUGUGUAAGCGCAGCGAUGCGUUGAGCUAACCGGUACUAAUGAACCGUGAGGCUUAACCUU